RNAcentral lists this ribosomal RNA (1029 nucleotides) under Triticum aestivum (bread wheat). Its description in RNAcentral is "partial small subunit ribosomal RNA". The record is from RNAcentral. Lineage: Eukaryota; Viridiplantae; Streptophyta; Magnoliopsida; Poales; Poaceae.
AUGCCACACUAUACUGUUUGGACCAGGCAUGGAGAAAUAGGGGUUAUGAUGGAAGACAGUGAAGAAGAAGAGGACGAUGACAACUAUGUGCCCCCGGAAUACGGUGAUGCUGCAACGAGGGAAGCUGCUGAAGAUCAAGAGGAACCAGACGAUAUUGUGCCUGAUGAUGAUCUCCGCCGGGUCAUUGUUGAUGCAAGGAGACAAUGCGAAAGUCAAAAGGAGAAGCUGAAGUUCGAUCGCAUGUUAGAGGAUCACAAAAAAGGGUUGUACCCCAAUUGCGAAGAUGGCAACACGAAGCUCGGUACCGUACUCGAAUCGCUGCAGUGGAAGGCAGUGAAUGUUGUGCCUGACCAAGGAUUUGAUAAGCUACUGAAAAUAUUGAAGAAGAAGCUUCCAAAGGAUAAUGAAUUGCCCGACAGUACGUAUGCAACAAAGAAGGUCGUAUGCUCUCUAGGAUUGGAGGUGCAGAAGAUACAUGCAUGCCCUAAUGAUUGCAUCCUCUACCACGGUGCGUACGAGGAUUUGAACGCAUACCCGGUACACGAUGCAUUGCGGUAUAAGAUCAGACGAGAUGACCCUGGUGAUGUUGACGGCGAGCCCCCCAGGAAGAGGGUUCCUGCGAAGGUGAUGUGGUAUGCUCCUAUAAUACCACGGUUGAAACGUCUGUUCAGAAACGAAGAGCAUGCCAAGUUGAUGCGAUGGCACAGAGAGGACUGUAAGAAAGACGGCAAGUUGAGAGCACCCGCUGGCGGGUCGCAGUGGAGAAAAAUCGAGAGAAAGUUCCGGGCUGAGCUUGCAGGUGACCCAAGGAACGUAUGGUUUGGUUUAAGCGCGGAUGUCAUUAAUCCUUUCGGGGAGCAGAGCAGCAAUCACAACACCUGGCCCGUGACUCUAUGUAUGUAUAACCUUCCUCCUUGGAUGUGCAUGAAGCGGAAGUUCAUUAUGAUGCCAGUUCUCAUCCAAGGCCCUAAGCAACCCGGGAACGACAUUGAUGUGUACCUAAGGCCAUUUUUUACAGCUGUGGAAUGA